This 73-nucleotide transfer RNA is filed under the name Orbicella faveolata. Its description in RNAcentral is "tRNA-Ala". It matches the Rfam family "tRNA". Rfam says of the family: Transfer RNA (tRNA) molecules are approximately 80 nucleotides in length. Lineage: Eukaryota; Metazoa; Cnidaria; Anthozoa; Scleractinia; Merulinidae. The record is from RNAcentral.
GGCUUGAUAGCUCAGUUGGUAGAGCACUGCACCGGCGUCGCAGAGGUCAUGGGUUCGAAUCCCGUUCAAGCCU